RNAcentral lists this ribosomal RNA (269 nucleotides) under uncultured Cryomonadida. RNAcentral describes it as "partial 18S ribosomal RNA". The stretch from base 89 to 269 matches the Rfam family "Eukaryotic small subunit ribosomal RNA", at positions 739 to 955 of the family's 1831-position model. The record is from RNAcentral. Lineage: Eukaryota; Cercozoa; Thecofilosea.
GACUUCUGGUUUAAUGCACCUGGCCCGCGGCCCACAAGGCCUGUGAGUGCCGGAGCGCGUUUACCAUCCUUCCAGCAACGGCUACCCUGGAACUGGAUCUUUUCCUUUGAAAAAAUUCGAGUGUUUAAAGCAGGCGUUUGCUCUCAAUACAUUAGCAUGGAAUAAUAAUCUAUGAAGUAUGAUUGAGAGGGAUAGUUGGGGGUGCUAGUAUUGGCCGGUCAGAGGUGAAAUUCUUGGAUUCGGUCAAGACUAACUUAUGCGAAAGCAUU